CCGCUGUGGGGAAGCUGUGUGUGUUCAAUCUAGUGGAGUUCACAGGAGAACCUGUGGUGGAGGAGGUAAACAUCACCGGCCUACCGGAGAGAGUGGUUUUGUAUGCCUCAUAUGUGGUAGCGUCACCUCGAAGCCUCACCCCACUUUCACCUGCAGCAGUUGUGGGGUCACUUUGUGUGAGCACUUGACCUCUGAACAUCUACAAUCAUGUCCCCAAGGGGUGCUUCAGAGGCAGGUAAAGACAUCUCAGGGGCAGGUAGGAGAGGA
This is a non-coding RNA of Procambarus clarkii (red swamp crayfish), 267 nucleotides long. The record is from RefSeq and is a predicted model, not a curated record. NCBI's taxonomy places the organism in Eukaryota, Metazoa, Arthropoda, Malacostraca, Decapoda, Cambaridae.